RNAcentral lists this ribosomal RNA (253 nucleotides) under uncultured bacterium. Its description in RNAcentral is "partial 16S ribosomal RNA". It matches the Rfam family "Bacterial small subunit ribosomal RNA", at positions 524 to 776 of the family's 1533-position model. The record is from RNAcentral.
UACAGAGGGUGCGAGCGUUGUCCGGAAUCACUGGGCGUAAAGGGCGCGUAGGCGGCUUGAUAAGCGUGCGGUGAAAGCCCUGGGCUCAACCUGGGAAUUGCAUUGGAUACUGGCAGGCUAGAGUGCGGUAGAGGAUGGCGGAAUUCCCGGUGUAGCAGUGAAAUGCGUAGAGAUCGGGAGGAACAUCUGUGGCGAAGGCGGCCAUCUGGACCAGCACUGACACUGAGGCACGAAAGCGUGGGGAGCAAACAGG